GAAAUGCGAUAAGUAGUGUGAAUUGCAGAAUUCAGUGAAUCAUCGAAUCUUUGAACGCACAUUGCGCCCCUUGGUAUUCCAUGGGGCAUGCCUGUUCGAGCGUCAUCUACACCCUCAAGCUCUGCUUGGUGUUGGGCGUCUGUCCCGCCCCCGCGCGUGGACUCGCCCCAAAUCCAUUGGCAGCGUUCCUCGCCCCCUCUCGCGCAGCACAUUGCGCUUCUCGAGGGCGGCUCCGGGACGCGAUCCAGCAAGAUGACCACCGUCUUUGACCUCGGAUCAGGUAGGGAUACCCGCUGAACUUAAGC
RNAcentral lists this unclassified non-coding RNA (305 nucleotides) under plant metagenome. RNAcentral's name for it is "partial contains 5.8S ribosomal RNA, internal transcribed spacer 2, and large subunit ribosomal RNA". The stretch from base 1 to 105 matches the Rfam family "5.8S ribosomal RNA", at positions 50 to 154 of the family's 154-position model. The record is from RNAcentral.